Molecule: ribosomal RNA, 484 nt
Filed under: uncultured bacterium
Lineage: Bacteria
Description: partial 16S ribosomal RNA
Rfam family: Bacterial small subunit ribosomal RNA
Source: RNAcentral
AUUGAACGCUGGCGGCGGGCCUAACACAUGCAAGUCGAGCGGAUGAAGCGAGCUUUCCCCUGGUUUCAGCGGCGGACGGGUGUGUAAUACCCAGGAAUCUUCUUCGUGGUGCGUCAUAACGUCCGUGAACAGCCGCUACUACUACAUGCGACCUGCGGGAGAAAGAGGGUGUUCUGCGGACCUCUUUCUAUCAGAGGAGCCUAGGUCGGAUAGGCUAGUUGGUGGGGUAGAGGCCUACCAAGGCGACUAUCCGUAACUGGUCUGAGAGGAUGAUCAGUCACUCUGGGACUGAGACACGGUUCAGACUCCUACGGGAGGCAGAAGUGGCGAAUAUUGGAAGAAGGGGGGAAUCCUGCUCCAGCCGUGCCGGCUGUGUGAAGAAGGGCUUCGGAUUGUAGAGCACUUUUAGUGGGGUGGAAGGGCAGCACGUUAAUACAUUGCUGUUUUGACGUUACCGACAGAAUAAGCACCGGCUAACUUCGUG